RNAcentral lists this ribosomal RNA (267 nucleotides) under Byrsopteryx gomezi. RNAcentral describes it as "partial 28S large subunit ribosomal RNA". It matches the Rfam family "Eukaryotic large subunit ribosomal RNA", at positions 667 to 840 of the family's 3401-position model. The record is from RNAcentral. Lineage: Eukaryota; Metazoa; Arthropoda; Insecta; Trichoptera; Hydroptilidae.
CAAGGAGUCUAGCAUGUGCGCAAGUCAUUGGGAAUAUAUGGAUAAUAAACAAUGAAUCUAACAAAACCCAUAGGCGUAACGAAAGUGAAAUUGUAUAAACUUUUGGUUAAACAAAGGGAUUAUGCAAAUAGGGAAGAUAUAUUAGGAAAUAUUUAUUUAUUUACUAAUAUCGCACUCCCGAGGCGUUUCGAGAAAGCCUUCGUGUUAUUAUCGAAACGCACUGAGAGCGUACACGCUGGGACCCGAAAGAUGGUGAACUAUGCCUGG